This 1648-nucleotide long non-coding RNA is filed under the name Capsicum annuum. RNAcentral's name for it is "long non-coding RNA (CANN_LNC016813)". The record is from RNAcentral. Lineage: Eukaryota; Viridiplantae; Streptophyta; Magnoliopsida; Solanales; Solanaceae.
UUCAAAAGAAGGAACAGAAGGAAGAAGGACAACCGAGUCUUGACUUAGGACAACCUACCUACCCAAGUUAUGGAGGAAUCAAGUGACCGGUAUUUCAAAAGAUUUGAAAAAGAAGAACUAUACCGAGUUGGAGAGUCGAGUGAGUUUCCAUCGAGGUUCCGAUCCGUGGCUCUGUCAUUACAUCAAAAUGAAAAUUACAAGUUAAACAUAAAUGAAAAUUACAAAAAUUCUAUCUACGCAGCUUCUAUUGGACUCUUGACUUGAGUUUCAUCACCGUAUUCUUCAGGCGGGCUCCUGAUUUGAAAUUUCUUCAACUUGUUACUUGGUUUUCAAUUUCAACACCCUAUUCUCCAGGCAGACUCCUGACUUGCUAUUUUCGAUCUGUUGACUUUCAUUUUCUUCACUUUGUUACUUGACUUUCAACUUCUUCACCUUUUUGCUUGACUUUCAAUUUCUUCACCUAGCUGCUUGACUUUCUAUUUAUUAGCCCUGUGUUUCGGGCGGACUCCUAAAAUCACAUCAAAACUUGAAAGAAAAUUAUACCAAACAAAGAUUUUUAUAAAAAGAUUUCAUAUGCCAGGAAAGUGAAGUUCCAACAUAAGAAUUAAAUUUUGCCCCAGUUUAUCAUCAAAGGACUUUUGCGAAAGUCACAUAUUAUAGGAAUCAAGGAGAAUGACUCGACUAUAAGGUGCGUCUGAUAGGAAUCAAAGGAAUUGACUCGACUAAAAGGUACGUCUUCUAGGGGUCAAGGAGAAUUACUCGACUAAAAGGUACAUCUUAUAGGAAUCAAGGGAGAUGACUCGACUAAAAGGUACGUCUUACUAGGAAUCAAGGGAGAUGACUCGACUAAAAGGUACGUCUUAUAGGAAUCAAAGGGAAUAAAUCGACUAAAAGGUACGUCUUCUAGGGGCCAAAGGGAAUGAAUCGACUAAAAGGUAUGUCUUAUAGGAAUCAAAGGGAAUAACUCGACUAAAAGGUACGUCUUAUAGGAAUCAAAGUAGAUGACUCAACUAAAAUGUACGUCUUAUAGGAAUCAAAGGAAAUGACUCAACUAAAAGGUACGUUUUAUAGGAAUCAAAAGAGAUGAAUAGACUAAAAGGUACGUCUUCUAGGAAUCAAGGGGGACGACUCGACUAAAAGGUACGUCUUAUAGUAAUCAAAGGGGGAUGACUCGAUUAAAAGGUACGUCUUAUAGGAAUUAAGGGAAAUGAAUUGACUAAAAGGUACGUCUUUUAAGAGUCAAGAGGAAUGUCUUGACUAGAAGGUACGUUUCCUAGGAGUGAAGGUUCAAUUUAAGAAGUGUAUCACCUAGCAAAUGAAAACUGAAAUCCCUGGACAAGUGUGUCUCCGAGGGAUAUAGGAUGAUGAAUUUUUACCAUGAUUUUAUUAUCAAACCUGUGCAUCAAUAUUGCUUUCUGCAUUUUUAAAAGUGAGGCAUUGCAACCCUUGAUGUUUAUGCUCUGAAGUCCCUGCUUUGAAGGUAAUCUGUUUCCUGUUACAUCAAAGAAAACUUGUGAGUUUAAAACAUGGUGGCUGGUUUAUGGCUUUAGCUUUAGCGGAGAUCGCUCUUGCCCUUGUCAUAUUUAAACUUGCUUCCAAUCAUUAACAUAUAUCAUUGACUUGCUGAAUCAUUGACCCGAACUAAGAU